Molecule: ribosomal RNA, 433 nt
Filed under: uncultured bacterium
Lineage: Bacteria
Description: partial 16S ribosomal RNA
Rfam family: Bacterial small subunit ribosomal RNA
Source: RNAcentral
AACGAACGCUGGCGGCAUGCCUAACACAUGCAAGUCGAACGAGACCUUCGGGUCUAGUGGCGCACGGGUGCGUAACGCGGGGGAACCUGCCCGUAGGUUCGGAAUAACUCCCCGAAAGGGGUGCUAAUACCGGAUAAUGUCUUCGGACCAAAGAUUUAUCGCCUUUGGAUGGGCCCGCGUUGGCUUAGCUGGUUGGUAGGGUAAAAGCCUACCAAGGCGACGAUCCAUAGCUGGUCUGAGAGGAUGAUCCGCCACACUGGGACUGAGACACGGCCCAGACUCCUACGGGAGGCAGCAGUGGGGAAUAUUGGACGAUGGGCGAAAGCCUGAUCCAGCAAUGCCGCGUGAGUGAUGAAGGCCUUAGGGUUGUAAAGCUCUUUUACCCGGGAUGAUAAUGACAGUACCGGGAGAAUAAGCUCCGGCUAACUCCGUG